This 338-nucleotide unclassified non-coding RNA is filed under the name soil metagenome. RNAcentral's name for it is "partial contains 5.8S ribosomal RNA, internal transcribed spacer 2, and large subunit ribosomal RNA". The stretch from base 1 to 120 matches the Rfam family "5.8S ribosomal RNA", at positions 35 to 154 of the family's 154-position model. The record is from RNAcentral.
GAUGAAGAACGCAGCGAAAUGCGAUAAGUAGUGUGAAUUGCAGAAUUCAGUGAAUCAUCGAAUCUUUGAACGCACAUUGCGCCCUUUGGUAUUCCAAAGGGCAUGCCUGUUCGAGCGUCAUUUGUACCCUCAAGCUUUGCUUGGUGUUGGGCGUCUUGUCUCCAGUUCGCUGGAGACUCGCCUUAAAGUAAUUGGCAGCCGGCCUACUGGUUUCGGAGCGCAGCACAAGUCGCGCUCUCUUCCAGCCAAGGUCAGCGUCCACAAAGCCUUUUUUCAACUUUUGACCUCGGAUCAGGUAGGGAUACCCGCUGAACUUAAGCAUAUCAAUAAGCGGAGGA